This 415-nucleotide ribosomal RNA is filed under the name uncultured microorganism. RNAcentral describes it as "bacterial SSU rRNA". It matches the Rfam family "Bacterial small subunit ribosomal RNA", at positions 9 to 420 of the family's 1533-position model. The record is from RNAcentral.
GAGUUUGAUCGUGGCUCAGAUUGAACGCUGGCGGCAUGCCUUACACAUGCAAGUCGAACGGCAGCAUGAUCUAGCUUGCUAGAUUGAUGGCGAGUGGCGAACGGGUGAGUAAUACAUCGGAACGUGCCCUGUAGUGGGGAUAACUAGUCGAAAGAUUAGCUAAUACCGCAUACGACCUGAGGGUGAAAGGUGGGGGACCGCAAGGCCUCAUGCUAUAGGAGCGGCCGAUGUCUGAUUAGCUAGUUGGUGGGGUAAAGGCCCACCAAGGCGACGAUCAGUAGCUGGUCUGAGAGGACGAUCAGCCACACUGGGACUGAGACACGGCCCAGACUCCUACGGGAGGCAGCAGUGGGGAAUUUUGGACAAUGGGCGAAAGCCUGAUCCAGCAAUGCCGCGUGUGUGAAGAAGGCCUCGG